GAUGCAGCGACGCCGAAAAAGGAAUGACGCCCUUCGGGUUGAAACCUCUUUCACCAGGGGCGAAGCGAAGUGACGGUACCUGGAGAAGAAGCACCGGCCAACUACGUGCCAGCAGCCGCGGUAAUACGUAGGGUGCGAGCGUUGUCCGGAAUUACUGGGCGUAAAGAGCUCGUAGGCGGUUUGUCGCGUCGUUCGUGAAAACUUGGGGCUUAACUUCAGCGUGCGGGCGAUACGGGCAGACUUGAGUACUACAGGGGAGACUGGAAUUCCUGGUGUAGCGGUGAAAUGCGCAAAUAUCAGGAGGAACACCGGUGGCGAAGGCGGGUCUCUGGGUAGUAACUGACGCUGAGGAGCGAAAGCGUGGGUAGCGAACAGGAUUAGAUACCCUGUAGUCCACGCCGUAAACGGUGGG
RNAcentral lists this ribosomal RNA (412 nucleotides) under uncultured bacterium. RNAcentral describes it as "bacterial SSU rRNA". It matches the Rfam family "Bacterial small subunit ribosomal RNA", at positions 385 to 813 of the family's 1533-position model. The record is from RNAcentral.